RNAcentral lists this transfer RNA (99 nucleotides) under Xylella fastidiosa 9a5c. Its description in RNAcentral is "tRNA-Und (NNN) (tRNA-Und-NNN-1-1)". The record is from RNAcentral. Lineage: Bacteria; Pseudomonadati; Pseudomonadota; Gammaproteobacteria; Lysobacterales; Lysobacteraceae.
UUAAAGUGGCGGAAGGAAGUGUAAAGUCUGAGACCGGAAAACUUGAAAACUAGCAAGGGGGUAACCCCUUCCAGGGUUCGAAUCCCUGACCCACCGCCA